Long non-coding RNA from Cyprinus carpio carpio, 881 nucleotides. Lineage: Eukaryota; Metazoa; Chordata; Actinopteri; Cypriniformes; Cyprinidae. The record is from Ensembl.
CUCCGACUCGGUAGGUGGCGCUGUCACAAAAAACUGCGGUCCUGAAAUUGCAUCCUCCGUUAUUGCAGAUGGAUAAUAUUGUCCUAAGCGGCUAUUCUAUUCACAGAGAAUACCUUUUUGCUUUUAAAAAACAAGACGCGCUGUUUCUACGUGUAUAAAGUCGUUAUUUUUGUUUUCUUCGCUUACAAAAAGUGUUCCCAAAGGCAGAUGGAGUAUUCUGAAGACGACUUUAAUACCUUUCCUGGACCUUGACACUGUUAUUUACUUGGCAGUCUAUGGGACAGUCACAAGCCUCCCUGUUUUCAUCCAAAAUAUCUUAAAUUGUGUUCCGAAGACGAACGGAGCUUUUACGGGUUUGGAACGACAUGCAGGAGACCAUUUUUUUCCUGUCUUCUUCAAUAAUACGGAGCUGGGCCAUGUGUGGCAUUGACGGCACGGCGUGGAUCCGGCAAACAAUAUGAGGGCCGAUUGUUGGUGGGAGGAGUGUGGCCCAGAUCAGUCCAGUGAUAUGUGGCCCAAAUCAGGCUAAGAUCUGGCAGCAUAUUAUGUGACCCAUGAUAAACAAGAUAAAUACAAUAUUGCAUGAUAAUGUUUAAAUGAUCACAUACAUUUUAAUAAGGUGUAGUAUUGUUAAAAUGUAGUCUUUGAAAUUGCAAGUCAAAACAGAAUGAAACAUUAUCAUUUCAAAAUUAAGCAAAUCAGUCAACUGCAUUAAACUGCACUUAAUUAUAAUUUUAUUACAUUUUAUAUUAUUAUUCUUGGUACAAAUAAUCUUAGAAUCCUUACAUGAAAAGAGAGAGAGAGAGAUCAUUUAACCAUUAUCAUGUAAUAUUUGGUUUACCAUGGGGCACACACUGAUCUAUAAUAGAGAGUGGGGGCAC